GACGAACGCUGGCGGCGUGCUUAACACAUGCAAGUCGAACGGAAAGGCCUCUUUCGGGGGGUACUCGAGUGGCGAACGGGUGAGUAACACGUGAGUAACCUGCCCUUGACUUUGGGAUAACUUCAGGAAACUGGGGCUAAUACCGGAUAGGAGCUCCUGCUGCAUGGUGGGGGUUGGAAAGUUUCGGCGGUUGGGGAUGGACUCGCGGCUUAUCGGCUUGUUGGUGGGGUAGUGGCUUACCAAGGCUUUGACGGGUAGCCGGCCUGAGAGGGUGACCGGCCACAUUGGGACUGAGAUACGGCCCAGACUCCUACGGGAGGCAGCAGUGGGGAAUAUUGCACAAUGGGUGGAAGCCUGAUGCAGCAACGCCGUGUGCGGGAUGACGGCCUUCGGGUUGUAAACCGCUUUCGCUCAUGACGAAGCUUUGUGUGACGGUAGUGGGUAAAGAAGCACCGGCUAACUACGUG
Molecule: ribosomal RNA, 467 nt
Filed under: uncultured bacterium
Lineage: Bacteria
Description: partial 16S ribosomal RNA
Rfam family: Bacterial small subunit ribosomal RNA
Source: RNAcentral